ACGCUCGACACCUACGAGAGGCAGCAGUGGGGAAUAUUGCACAAUGGGGGAAACCCUGAUGCAGCGACGCCGCGUGAGCGAAGAAGUAUCUCGGUAUGUAAAGCUCUAUCAGCAGGGAAGAAGAUGACGGUACCUGACUAAGAAGCACCGGCUAAAUACGUGCCAGUAGCCGCGGUAAUCUGAGCGGGCUGGCAAGGC
RNAcentral lists this ribosomal RNA (198 nucleotides) under uncultured bacterium. RNAcentral describes it as "partial 16S ribosomal RNA". It matches the Rfam family "Bacterial small subunit ribosomal RNA", at positions 328 to 539 of the family's 1533-position model. The record is from RNAcentral.